Pseudophryne corroboree (corroboree frog) is the source of this 162-nucleotide long non-coding RNA. RefSeq lists it as uncharacterized. NCBI's taxonomy places the organism in Eukaryota, Metazoa, Chordata, Amphibia, Anura, Myobatrachidae. The transcript has 5 exons. The record is from RefSeq and is a predicted model, not a curated record.
AGUACACCAUCUGACACUACAGUGAAAGAGAGCACUGUAUGGACUGAUACUGUGGUCCCUUUUAAUACAACAUCUGAGGAAGAUCUCUCAAAGGAGAUCACUGUGUGGACAGAUCCAGUAAUCCCUUUGAAUUCACCAUCUGAUUCCUCAUAUAAGGAGAGG